Molecule: ribosomal RNA, 684 nt
Filed under: uncultured bacterium
Lineage: Bacteria
Description: bacterial SSU rRNA
Rfam family: Bacterial small subunit ribosomal RNA
Source: RNAcentral
UUACGCCCGCAAGCUUAAACUCAAAGAAAUUGACGGGGGCCCGCACAAGCGGCGGAGCAUUGUGGAUUAAUUCGAUGCAACGCGAAGAACCUUACCUGGGUUUGACAUGCACAGGACGUGCCUAGAGAUAGGUAUUCACCUUGUGGCCUGUGUGCAGGUGGUGCAUGGCUGUCGUCAGCUCGUGUCGUGAGAUGUUGGGUUAAGUCCCGCAACGAGCGCAACCCUUGUCUCAUGUUGCCAGCACGUUAUGGUGGGGACUCGUGAGAGACUGCCGGGGUCAACUCGGAGGAAGGUGGGGAUGACGUCAAGUCAUCAUGCCCCUUUAUGUCCAGGGCUUCACACACGCUACAAUGGCCGGUACAAAGGGCUGCGAUGCCGUGAGGUGGAGCGAAUCCUUUCAAAGCCGGUCUCAGUUCGGAUCGGGGUCUGCAACUCGACCCCGUGAAGUCGGAGUCGCUAGUAAUCGCAGAUCAGCAACGCUGCGGUGAAUACGUUCCCGGGCCUUGUACACACCGCCCGUCACGUCAUGAAAGUCGGUAACACCCGAAGCCGGUGGCCUAACCCCGUGUGGGAGGGAGCCGUCGAAGGUGGGAUCGGCGAUUGGGACGAAGUCGUAACAAGUACCCNUACCGGGAAGUGCGGCUGGAUCACCUUAAUCAUCUUGGUCAUUCGCGAGUACCGUAG